GAGAUUUAGCUCAGCUGGGAGAGCAUCUGCCUUACAAGCAGAGGGUCGGGGGUUCGAUCCCCUCAAUCUCC
This 71-nucleotide transfer RNA is filed under the name uncultured Paenibacillus sp. It matches the Rfam family "tRNA". Rfam says of the family: Transfer RNA (tRNA) molecules are approximately 80 nucleotides in length. Their secondary structure includes four short double-helical elements and three loops (D, anti-codon, and T loops). The record is from RNAcentral. Lineage: Bacteria; Bacillati; Bacillota; Bacilli; Caryophanales; Paenibacillaceae.